GUGUGUUGUGUAAUGCAGCUGCUGCGUGAUGAUCAACAUCCACAAGCUCCUUCACCUCGCUAACUGUGGGAGCAGGCGUCAAUAGAUGGCCUCUUCAUUAACUGAGCUGGAGAUGCUAACCAUCGUGUUUUCUCUCCUGGUUUUUGCCCUCUUCACACUUGGAGGGAUGCUCAGUGAGGAAUGCGGACAGUCAAAUGAGACUAACACAAAACCACAAAAUGAUGUGCUGACUGUCUGACUUUGAUGAGGGUCAUGAUUGUGAUACAGAAGAUUCAAAAGGGAAACACAGCCCUCUGAGCAUGUGACAGUCAAAGCCCCCCCCCCGCCUGUGCGAACCUGUCUGUUACCAGAAUAAAGUUGAACUGGUAACCUCUGAACACAUUUACAAUUGCAUGUGUACUUUGUUAAAGGAUCUUGCGUUAAUAGCCUCCAGGAUGAGCCACAGAGGAGUGGCCUACACUGCACAUUGUGAAAGCAAAAAAGAAGGACUGAACAAAGAAACGCCUGCUUUAACAAACAGUGACAAGACAGUAUCUCGAGCCUGCUUUCUCUGUGAGAGUGUGAAGACAGAAGUGUUUUAUCUAACUUCAGAUCUGAAAACAGCUGUUGUAAUUCUUCUACCAGUAAGUUUUAAAAGCUUAACCGUGCCUGCUCUUCUUCUUCUUCUUCUUCUUCUUCUUCUUCACUCUUUUCUUGUACCUCCUGUUUGAGUUGUUCAAGGACGUUUUCUUCUACCCACUGACGGUUACCUUUGACACUGGGAGGCAAUUGAAAAAUCUAGGUCAGAAACAAAAGGUGUGUUUGGCAGGUUUUGAGUGAGCCAUCUGAUCACUCUAUUGAAAUGAGAAGUAUGAAUCACUUGUGCCAAGGCUCAAAGGGUAGCGAUAUGAAUGUCUACAUUUACAGAGAGAAAAAUGUGGGAAUCACAGGCCAUCUGUGGUCGGCUACACUGAUUCAUUCAGCCUGUCUGUGACAACAUAAAAAUGCUCUCUCUGUUAUUCAGCACCAGCUCUUGUUUGACAGCCGUGUUUUCAUACACAUGUAUAUCUAUAACUAUUUUGUUUACCUGACACGUGAUGGCUAAAGAGUUAAAACAAAAAGAAUAAAAUAAAGGAUGUUUGAUUCUGAAACUCUGCUGAAGAUUCAAAAUGUAUUCACUGAUGUUAAGUUCACAGAAAGUCCCUGAAACUUCAGUGACUGUACUUUUUUCUUUGAUUUUUCACACGGACUGUUUUAUUCAUGGGAGCCCAGCCUGGAGUUUCAGCCUGCCACUCAU
This is a long non-coding RNA of Oreochromis niloticus (Nile tilapia), 1276 nucleotides long. RefSeq lists it as uncharacterized. The transcript has 3 exons. The record is from RefSeq and is a predicted model, not a curated record. Lineage: Eukaryota; Metazoa; Chordata; Actinopteri; Cichliformes; Cichlidae.